RNAcentral lists this transfer RNA (88 nucleotides) under Eubacterium sp. RNAcentral describes it as "tRNA-Ser". It matches the Rfam family "tRNA". Rfam says of the family: Transfer RNA (tRNA) molecules are approximately 80 nucleotides in length. Their secondary structure includes four short double-helical elements and three loops (D, anti-codon, and T loops). Further hydrogen bonds mediate the characteristic L-shaped molecular structure. tRNAs have two regions of fundamental functional importance: the anti-codon, which is responsible for specific mRNA codon recognition, and the 3' end, to which the tRNAs corresponding amino acid is attached (by aminoacyl-tRNA synthetases). tRNAs cope with the degeneracy of the genetic code in two manners: having more than one tRNA (with a specific anti-codon) for a particular amino acid; and 'wobble' base-pairing, i.e. permitting non-standard base-pairing at the 3rd anti-codon position. The record is from RNAcentral. RNAcentral also lists the same sequence under 1 other name. Lineage: Bacteria; Bacillati; Bacillota; Clostridia; Eubacteriales; Eubacteriaceae.
GACGAGAUGGCUGAGUGGUUUAAAGCACCUGUCUACUAAACAGGCAGUCAGAGAUGACUCGUAGGUUCAAAUCCUACUCUCGUCGCCA